AAUGAACGUUGGCGGCAUGGAUUAGGCAUGCAAGUCGGGGGAAUCCCAGCAAUGGGGGGACCGGCGUAAGGGGCAGUAAGGCAUGGGUACCUACCUUGGGGUUCGGGAUAGCCAUCAGAGAUGGUGGGUAAUACCGGAUGACGUCGUGAGACCAAAGAUUCAUCGCCCUUAGAGGGGCCCAUGUGAUAUUAGCUAGUUGGUGGGGUAACGGCCCACCAAGGCGAAGAUGUCUAGCGGGUGUGAGAGCACGACCCGCGCCACUCGCACUGAGACACUGGCGAGACACCUACGGGUGGCUGCAGUCGAGGAUCUUCGGCAAUGAGCGCAAGCUUGACCGAGCGAUGCCGCGUGAGCGAUGAAGGCCUUCGGGUUGUAAAGCUCUUUAGUGGGGGAGAAAAGCCGCAAGGUGUGAUCUAUCCCAAAAAUAAGCACGGGCUAAGUUCGUGCCAGCAGCCGCAGUAA
RNAcentral lists this ribosomal RNA (462 nucleotides) under uncultured bacterium. Its description in RNAcentral is "partial 16S ribosomal RNA". It matches the Rfam family "Bacterial small subunit ribosomal RNA", at positions 29 to 523 of the family's 1533-position model. The record is from RNAcentral.